UUUCUACAAGGUCAAUUUGGCUCUAAACCCCUCUAGGGUAAAAGCCCUAAUUUUGGUGCCCUAACAAUGCCAUUUACAAAUUCUUUGGGUUUGAUCUCUAGAACAAGCAAAAGAAAGCUUGUUGAACCUCUAGGAACUCUUUUAGAACCUUUUCUAAGCUUUUCAAACCAUUUCUAGGGCAUACAAUAUGAAUCCUAGAAGUUCACCAUAAGAGCACAUGAAGCUACCAUGGAUUUUCAUGGAGUUCAUGCCUCUACUAGGUUUCUAUACAUGAGAGGAGAUCAAAACCUAGCUUCCUAGGUCACAAAACCAAACCCUAAACUCAGUCUUGCCAAAGAACUCACCUUAGCCCUAAGCUCUCCAAUGUCCACCUUGUAGGAGAGUACCCAAGCCUCUAAAACCCUAAGUCCUUCAAGAUUUCUCCUCCAAAUCCACCUCCUUUAGCUUUGUGAGAGAGGUUCUAGAGAGAGAGAGAGAGGGAGAGAAAUGAGAGGAGGGGUGUAAUUAGCUGUGGGAGAGAGAGAGAAGGUGUGUUAAGGUGUCACGCCCCGGGGUCCCUUUUAGUUUAAAACAUAGCGGAAAAGCGUCUGAAUUUUUUUUUUUUUUUUUGAAAAGCCUGACCCCAGAGUAUGCCAGAUCCGCCACAAACACAGGGAAUCCACUGUUCACAUGGACAGAGUCUCCCCUAUAUUUGCACGGCGUCACACAAGUACAAGAAGUAACCCAGGUACAACCACAACCAAAUGAACAUACAAAUAACUAACGAUUAUAUAUUCAUGCACCAUUCACAUCACAGGUUCACAUUUAUAUAUUCAAUAUUUAAACAUAAAUUCACAUCUAUCAGUUAAAAUAUUUCCAACCACAGAAACAGGUUUUGAAAUACUAAGAUGCAAAAUCCACAUAAAACCUUUUUGAAAACUAUUUCCUACACGGAAAUCUUUAUUCUUUAAAAACGCUACCACGAGGGGUAGAAAACCUUUUAUUUUACAAAAUCCAGAAAUCUGUUUAUUAUAUUCACGAAAAUUCAUAUAUUCAAAUGUAAUAAAAAUACUGAACCAUAUAAGUCAACUAAGCUCUAUAUCAACAUAAAUAAUAAGGGUAAAAGCUAAACCGAAUAACCUGGGUCGGAAGAUCUAACGACCGCUACGUACAUGCCUCACGUCUCGUCUCAAUACCCAUCGCCUGCGAUACCUGAAGAAUGGUGGGGGAGGUGAGAACAUGUAAAUAUGUCUCCCCUCCCAGUGGGUACCGCAAGCCGAUGAAAGCGAGGAGUGCUCACCAGAUCAGGAAGAGCUAAACAACAGUACGGGUCAGUGAAAAUACAGUAGGAACAAUAGUAAACGAAAGAGAUAUGUAAGGAGCUGACAAGUAUAGAUGCAGGUAAAUAAAACAGUAGCCACAAUAAACAGAUAAGGAUGUACUGGAAAUAAACACUACAGCUACUGUAUGCAUGUGUCAACUGACGAUAACCUCAAAAAUAUCCAAUCUCGCUGCCCUAUUGGUCCGAGGACCUCAGGCCCAUGCCACACUGCUCAAUCUGUUCCUGACCCUCGCAAUGAAGCCCCUGGGUCAGAAACAUGUACCUGACCCUCGCAAUGAAGCCCCUGGGUUAGAAGCAUAUACCCUCGCAAUAAAGCCCCUGGGCUCACGGGUUGGCAAUCCAACCACUUCUCUGGAAAAGAACACCCUCUUGCGGUGGAUCAGACCGCUGGUGUUCGUGAAAUGCGUACCUGCAGUGGCGAUCAAUGUAGUAUGCUCAAAGAUCAUCCAUCGGCAACUAGCCGACAAUCCAGCCCCUCAGGGCACACCGACCGUAUAGGCCAUCAGCAACUAAUCGGCUACGUAUGUCAAGAUAGAACUGUAGCAACUCGACCGAAUAGGUCAUAGAUAUCAAAAUAGGGGAACCGCCAAACCAAAUCACAGAUAUGGAUAGAACUGUAGCAACUCGACCGAAUAGGUCAUAGAUAUCAAAAUAGGGGAGCCGCCCAACCAAAUCACAGAUAUAGAUAGAACUGUAGCAACUCGACCGAAUAGGUCAUAGAUAUCAAAAUAGGGGAACCGCCCAACCAAAUCACAGAUAUAGUGAACAGAUAAGUCAACUCUACUCCUAAGCAUGAUAUCAACAUGGAAAUAACUGAGUAGAGGAAUGCAGAUAUAGUGAACAGAUAAGUCAACUCUACGCCCAACCAAAUCACAGAUAUAGUGAAUAGAUAAGUCAACUCUACUCCUAGGCAUGAUAUCAACAUGAAAAUAACUGAGUAGAGGAAUGCAGAUAUAAAUGCAGGUGCAAGGCUCAACACUUUAUAUCAAGAGAUAUAUAUAUAUAUAUAUAUAUAUAUAUAUAUAUACCAGAUAAUAACGGGAGAACAAAGGUAAGAAACCAUCACCGAGCGUGCACCACUGUACCGACGUCGGAUCGAAGUACCCGCCUGUACAACUGUCGCGCCUGUCUCCUGACUGCAAAAGAAUGUCAACCGGACCUAAGGAGGGUCCACUGGGUUAGUGUCUAACCCACAGCUAAGAAACCCUAAAAGCAUAGCCCACAAACAAUCUCACGGAGAUCGGUUUCCUAAUACCGAUUACCGUAACUCGUCGGAAGUCCCGAAAACCACACCGGGACGCCGUCGGGACCCACGAACUGUCCCGAAAUAUUCCGACUAUGAUACGAGUCACCCGCUGCCACAAAACACACCAAUUUGGAUGUCUUGGCAGGCAAACACAAGUUAACACAACUACACAUUAUCGCCGGAUAAUUGUACGAACUCGGGUUCCGAAAGUGUCAAAUUCGACACCGGAACCCACCGUCGCUCACUCGUCAUUUCUGAACUCUCGAAAUGACGCAAGUGACCAGCAAACAAGGCUGGCGACUACACAAUAGCCCACGAAGCACCGUCGGAAUAAUUCCGAACCGAACCGCGUUCGUCGGCGGAUUUCGCCGAGAAACGCAUCGGAAAUCACUUUUCGGUCUCCGUAAGGCUUGGGCUUGGACAAUCAGUCAGAGGUUUACCCACUAUCACCCAUGCUGCAACAGCAGCACAACAACCAAAAUACAUAAAAGCCUCCGAUUACCCGAAAUCGCAUUAUUUCAUGCGAUUUCGGCGCUUUUAUGGUCCGUCGGCACAAACCAGAAAUGAAUCAGUGAAGCGAGGCACCCGCUGAUAGGUCUCGCGUGCGCGAGACCGUGCUCACCUUUCGAAGCAAAUUCGCCACUGUGGGAAACGUACGAGCGACGGCGAAAUUCAGUGAAUAUAGCGGCGCACAGCGCCUAAUUCGCUUCUAACACGCAAACCGAGGAACCGAUGACCCCGACGGAGGUGAGCACGAUGCUCAGCACGGAGUAACGAUGAUCGUGCUCACUUCUACUGUCAUCAGGGUGCCUUCGGAUCGCCGGAAAGGCCACCGGAAUCCCAAAAUACAGUGCUGUUAACAUCAAUACAGCCUUACCUAGGUAGUGGAGCUAGGGUUGAUCGCCGGCGGCCGGACGGCGGGCGGUCCGGCCAGGGGAGGGUGCGGCCGGUUGGUGGGGUCUGGGGCACCCGCUGGCCGGCGGCGGAAGGUGGCCGUUGGCACGGCGGCGGAGAUCAAGUCCACCAAGCUCCUCUCGGGUUCAAGGGCGCCGGCGGUGAAGCGGCGGCCGGAGGAGCCCGGGGCGGUGAUGGUUCGUCGUCGGAGGACGAGGAGGAGGCUAUGCUCCCGUCAGUGGGCGGCGGCAACGCUUGGAAGCCGAAGGGACUCGGCCAUGGCCCGCACGGGUCUGGGCGGCCGCAGGAUGGAGGAGCGGCGGCCGGCGGUCCACGGGGAUAGCCGGGAGGGCGAGCGGCGGCGAGCGGGAGGUCGCCGGAGGCCGUGGGAUGACGGCGCGCCCGAUCCGGAGUGGCGGUGGCGCGCGGGCCUCGAGCCCACCCGUGCUCGGUCUGGGCUAACCGAGGGCGGCCGCAGGGAGCAGGGCGGCGCCGGCGGCCCACGGGACUGACCGGGGCCGACGGUGACGACUCCGGGGAAGGCGGCAUAGUCGUCCAAAGGCGACGGCGGCCCGCGCAGGCGAUGCGGGACCAGGCUCGGCCUGAGCUAGGUCAGGCUCGGCCGCAGGGCGCCCAGGCCGCGACGGCGGCGCGUGGGGACGGCGGCGGCCGGCACGGCGGGACGGCGGAGGUCGGGGCCGCUGCUAGAGGUGGUGCUCGACAGUGAUGACAUUCCUGGGUUGCCCAGAUUGGUUCCACGGCAGGGAUGGUUGGGAAAGAAUGAUGGAGGGGUGGCCGGGUUGCUAGUUUUCCGGCGGCCGGGGCACCUGCCGGCGGCCGGGGUGCGCACAAGGGUUGGGCUGAAACUGGUUAGGGCACAGUUGGGAGACAAGGUCGGCCAGAUCUGGGGUUUCGUGCAUAGAAACCCUAGAUGCACAAUGUAUACAAAGUGUAAUUUUGCACAAAAGGCCACCGAAGCUUGGUAUGUCUUACCCAGUCCUUCAUAGUGGGUAACAAUCGCGUAUUCGCACCUCCAUAUUCGAUCUCGUGCGAUUCGGUACAUAAAAUAUGGGGACUUUUGCGAGAAUUGCAAUUAGUCACUUUAGACCCCUUUUCGAACAUCAUGCGAUAUCCGGCAAUCCGUUCAUCAAAAUUCUGAACGGAUUGCGCCAUCGCGUUCAGCAUGACGGGGACAAUAAACGUACGAUUUUGGUUCACAUCGAUCGGUCACGGAUUCGCGACGAAACCCGUCCGCUCUCCAAAUUCCAAAAACCACACACAUAUACCAAUGUGUAAUCCCGCUAAAUCCUAGAUUCAAAUUCAAAUUUGAAUCUCCUACUACUAGUAGGUACAUGUAACAUCCCUCACCUUACUCUAGGUCACAAACAUAGAGCACGAGGAGUCUCAUUAUGCAAGAACAGCAAAAAGCAAAAACCCUCUUUUCGAUAAAAUUUCUUUUUCUCGAAAACCGUGCAUCAGAUCUGAAAUCCGUCAGUGUCAUUGGUUCCAGAAUAGCUGAACCGAUCGAAACGAGCUAUUGGAUCGCUAUGAACGGAGUCCAAUACGUGCCAGAAGCCAACUCUACUCCGCGGCUUCUCCGGAAAACCAGAGUUACUAUUCACUUAAGUGAAAACUAAUAAUCGCGUAACUUCUCCAUUCUAGCUCAUUUUCUCCUGAAACUUGACGAGUGCUUAUGUAAUUAAAUUACACACAUAAACAUCAUCGACAGAGAGUUUAGUUGCACUGUAAAAAAAUCUCAGUCCUUUAAGGUGUUAUUAUGUUGUAACAAUUGCAAUAAAACCCUCUCUUUUCUCCAAUUUGCAGCAGACCUAUUUUUGCUGUCGGGUCCAAUGUGUAUCAGUACAGGCUGGGUGUUACCGGUUACACAAUCUCGCAGAGGCAAAUUCGAGAGCAAUUGCUCGGGUUUUGCAAAAGUGUACCGGUACACACCAGGGGUGUCACCGGUAACACAACUUCGCAGAGGCAAACCCAAGAGCAAUUUGUCUCGGUUUGCAGUGCUGUACCGGUACAACAUCAAUGUUGUACCGGUACACAAUGCCCAGACUUCGAUUUUAGUUCUUGUUCGACUUCUCUUCACGCCGAGCAAUACUGAAACCCAUCUAAUUCUUUUAGAACUCAUCGUUAACCCUUCCGACAUUGCUGGAAAGUUUAAUGGGACUUGUCCAACUAAUUCCUUCAGACACUUUAGUCAAUUUGGCUAAAGUCCGGAUUACUUUACCAUAGUUUCCGUAUGUUACACACACACACAUGGUAGAGAGAGAGAGAGAAAGAGAGAGAGAAGCUCUCUUCUCCCUCCCAAUCUCUUCUUUCUCUAUCUUGAUCUCUCCUAAACUUGGGGUUUUGGUGAAGAUGGAGCUCGAGAACGCGUAGAGAGCGGUGGGUCGAGCCCUUGAACGCUUGGAGGCUAGGCGCGCUUCCGACUCGAGGUUCGUUUUUGGGUUGAAAGCUUCAUUUGGAUUAAAUCAUUUAAAAUGGAUGUGUUGGAGAUCCUUAGAUAAUUCUAAACUAGUUAAUCAUGUUCUCCAUGAAUUUUUGAGGUAUUUGGAGAAAUAGAAAAUCUAGGGUUUAGAAAUUGGAGGUUUUAGGGUUUAAGGGUUUUGAUCGAAAUUGACCCUUUGGUUCUCUAUUUGAAGGAUAGAGGAGAGCCCCAAACAACCGCAAAUUGGAAAUUGGUGAACGUUUGGUGAUCAAUUAGAGUAACAAGCCGAACCGAACAACGUUUGCCACAAGAGUCCGAUUGAGAGUGUCUAGAAGCAAUCGGAAGCAUUGUGAGGCGGGUUGUGCUUCACCGAAGUGAUUAGAUCACUUCAAUGCCAAAGAGUGAAGUAUGAUUUUGGUGUUAUUGUUGAUGCAUGUAAUGGUAGUUUAAUUGUAAUUAUGAAUACAUGAGAUAUAUGCUAAAUAAUAUAUUGACUACCAUUGGACAAGGACAUAGACAUGUGCAAACAUAUAUGAUAUAUGUAUAUAUAUAUGUCUAGAUGUGAAUGGUGAACUUGGGUCGAUAAACUCUAGAAAGAUUAGAAAACUUAACAAGUGUGGCACCAAGGACUAGAUGGCAUGAAAACUAUGAAUCCUAGAUGUGGACAACUAUGAUAGAAAAUAACUGAUUGGAUAUUGAACCUAGUAUCAUUAAACAUAGGUUGAACAUUGAACCUAGAGUCGAGUGAAUCUAGGCGGGAAUGACAUAAAACCUAGUGUGGUUGAACCUAGGUUGUGAAUUAUAGUGGUAAGCUGGCCACUAGAAUAUGUAUGAGUCUAACCUAGAGAGGUUGACAUUAUAGGGUAUGUGACUAACCCUUGAGACAUGAAAAGUGGAUUUCGAAAUCCCAGGACUUGUGUAUAUCGAUAGUUCACAGCCGUGGGUGUAUGUGGCAGGUUCCUCUCUCACCGCAGGAACUUCGAGGUAUGUGAUUGUGGAAGAUUCUUGGCCGCGGGUGUACGUGGGCAUGUUUCUCUCCUACCGGAAGAAUCUUCGAGCGGUAAGGUGUAUGUGGCAUAUUCCUCUCCCUAUCGAGGAUCUCGGCUGUGGGUGUAUGCGGCAUGUUCCUCUCCCACCGGAGGAUCCCUGACUAUGGGUGUACGCAGUUUUGAGCGACCCGUUGGGCGACUUUAUUUGUGGAUUGAAGGCUGAAGUGUAUGUGGCAGGUUCCUCUCCUUAGGCCUGGAUGUGAGCGGUAUUCCGCUGAUGAUUGACUCGAGAGCGAGUUGGGUGACAUAGUUUGGCUAAGGUAAAUGAACCUUAGGAGCAAAUGGCAAAUGGUAUGGAUUAUGGAAUAGAUAGUAGAUACGGUAGAUCUAUUUGCAUGAGUUGCAUUAUUGCAUUUUGUGAGACAUAAGCAUAAUAGUUGUUAGUUGCAUGAAAUUAUAUGAUUAUAUAUAUUUGUUGGACUAACUUGUUUAUGUUGCCUCCUUUGGACCUGGUGGAUCGAGCGCUUCCCCUUGGGUGGCCGUACCCACUGGAAACUAUUUAUAUAGUUCUCAUCCCAAUCUUUUUCAGGUACACACGCGAGCAGCACGGCGGCGCGAGAAAAUAGCGUAGCUCGGUUGAUAGCGCCCUACUACCGAGACCAGAGAUAGCAGUACCCCGAGUCGUCCUAGCUUAGGGGUGUUGAGAAAAAGAAACAAUUUGUAAUAAGUUGACAGUAUUUGAAAGUAAACGAAUGUAAAACUAAUGUAAUGGGAUGUAGUGAGUUGAAUGCUUGUAAUAGCUUAGCAGUGAUGUUUUUUAUACCUUCUUUAUGCAAUCUAUGUAUGAAAUAUGUUCCUAGUUGGAACCUCUUGAUUUGUACUAUGGCGACGCCUUGGACGUACAGAAAAAACUCUGUCUGUUCGGCAGUCUGUCGAAGCGCCCGAAUCUGACCAAAGGGGCGGGUUACGGAGCGUGAGAAAUAUCUCUUAUUUAAUGAAUCUUAUUUUACUAGCAUAUUUUUCUAUUUUCGUUUUUUCUCUCUUUUAUGAUUGUAUCAGCUUUUGCUGAGAAGACGGAUUUAUGGUAAAAAUCCGAUUCGACACUUUCGUUGCAGAAUCCCAACAAUCGAUACUGGAUCAACAACAUUCGGUAUCAAAGCGGGUUGCAUAUUCUCAAAAUUCGAUACUGGCGCGAGUAUCGGAUUCUCAACAUUUGGUAUCUGUAAGGAAGUGAAUUCUCGAAAUUCGAGAGUUGUACUUCGUCCAGAAUCAAUUAAUUGUCUAGUGGGUAUGCUUCAGAAAAGCCGAAGAUGUCUAAAACCCAAAAAGUGCAUUGGACCUAUAGUCCACGAGAGCAGAUAGUGCAAAUCUGCACUUCUGCAGAUCAGGCUCUCGGGGACCGGUCCCUGACAUGAGGGACCGGUUCCCGUAAGCUUGCUGCGCGGGGAAAACCCUCUGCGCACAAGUCUGCUUUCGGGGACCGGUCCCUAACGGGAGAGACCGGUCCUCGUAAGCAGUGUGGAGUCCCAGUUGGGACCGGUCUCCCAGUGGAGGACCGGUUCCCGUAGGUGUCCUGCGAGAGCGUUGCUCUCGGGGACCGGUCCCUGGCGGGAGGGAUCGGUCCUCAUGUGCGUAGAAGCUGGCUGGGAGCUCCAGCCUGUGGGAGAAGCUCUCGGGGACCGGUCCUCCCGUAGAGGGACCAAUCCCCGUGUGCGAAAACUUCGCAGGCAGAGCAGUUUGAGAAAGGCAAAGUGGAGGGGCUUGGCUGCAAUUAUGCCAUUAGUAAGGGGUAUAGAGGGCAAAUAAUCCUCUCUCCCUCUCUCAUUUUCCCUCCUCACCCCUGUUCUCUCCCUCUCUCUCUCUAGGAAAGAAGAAGAAGAGGAGAAGAAGAGAAGAAGAAGAAGAAAAAGGAGAAGAAGAAGGAGGAGAACUUGAACGAGAUCCUCACCAUCAUCUUCUUCUCUUCCUCUCAACACUAUUGGAGCAAGCUCAAGAGGUGAGCUUCUAAACCCUAACAAUGGUAGAACCUAGGGUCGUCGAUUUCUAGCUUAUUAAUUAGGUCAAAUGGACCCCAAACAUGAUUAAUAGAUGAUUUAAGCUAGAAUCUAGAUUUUUGAGGGAGUGGUUUUGCUAUGAGGCAAACCUACGGCAUCCAAAUUGGGGUUUUGCUUAAUAGAGUGGUUUGAUCUCAAUUGAUGGCAUCUAAACCUAAUUGCUAGGUGUUUAAACGCGUGGGCGAAGACAGAUUGAGCAUUCGUCGAGUUCUUGUAAAGUUAUCGGCAAAACAAGGCCGAACGGGCUUCAUUUCAACCUAAGCGGCCGAGAUAGAUCGAAGCAAGUGCCGAGGAUCAUUCUUAGGACCUCUACGACAUAAAUCAUCUUCGAAAGGUGGGGGGUGUCAUCCCGAAGCAACUGAACUCCUUAUUAUGUCUUAGAACAUAUGAAAUUUCAUCUCUUGCAUAUGCAUUAUAGGAUUGCAUUGUAAUACCUUUUCCUUAUGCUUUCUAAAUAAUAACCUAGUGUGAGUUGAAUACUUGGUAAAUUGGAUAGGUAUGGAUUCGGUCGGAAAAUUGAAUCCUAUAGUGCUCAAAGAAAGAGAUGAGCUCGAUGAUGACUAGUGAUAUAACGAGUGGCAUAUAAAUGAUAUGUGAACCAAACGAGUGGCAUCUAAUGUAGUGUAUUUUCACACUAGUGGUACGUGAACAUAGGGAUAGGAGGAUUCCCUAGUGAACGACUCGUGAACAAAGAACUUAGUAUAGCUAAGCACAUAUGCAUGAUUGUCGGAAUAGUUAAGUUCCGAGAGAAUUAUUGGCCCUAGUUCGUAGGGUGUCCUCAAGUGGAGAGGAUAGAUCAAGCUCACGGUCUGUUAUUGGGGUGGUAUAGCUAUCCAUGUCGUCGAGUACUCCGGAGUGUCGGGCGAUCGGGACAGAGUUGAUGUCCGCAGACAAUCCCGGGUUUGAGAGCGAGUUGAGUCUCCCUACCCAACGGGAUGAAGACGUGAGUCGAGGGCGACCCCAAGGGAUUCGCCAUGGAUUGGGUAAAUAAAAGAAUAAACCGUCGUUGAACAUGGUUGAAUUGGACAUAGUAGCAUGAUUGUAAACCUUUACUAAAUGAUGCAUGCAUUCAUAUCCCUGAUUAUGGGCAUAGUAGCAUAGCUUUCCUAUUAUGUCAUUUACUGUUUUAGAUAUCUAUCUAUCUAUCUAUCUAUCUGUUGUUACUUUGCCCACUUGGACCUAGUGGGAAGAUCGGCGGAGUCGGCGGCCGAGCUCACUGGAAACUAUGGAAGAUAGUUCUCACCCCACUUUAUUUCAGGGUCGAGUGCGGGCGCGCCGGGCGAGGAUCGCGACAAAGGCAUUGCACCCGAGCAGUAGUAUAGUAGCUUCCUUUAUGCAUUAGAGUACCAUUUUGUAUCUAAAUGCUUUAUGUUUUUGGAAGAGCUAAUGAUGUAAUUGAGAUGAACAUGUAUUCAUUUUGGGAAGGAUGUAAUUAUAAAAAGAAUGCAAAUAUGAUGUAAUAGGUAGUAGAUCUCUCUUUAUUUCACUUGUAUUACUUGUGGAUUACUUGCUCUUAGUUGUAGGCACUAGUUGUGCCCUUCGUUGAUUGUGUACUUAUAGAAUUUAAAUUCCUGGGUAAAUUCUUGUACUCGAUCUGUUGUUGAGCCUUGGGCGGAUAGGGGAGGUGCUGUCCGUUCGGCGUCUGUUCGACGCGCCCGAAUCGGACCAAAUUGGUGGCGAUUUCGGGGCGUGAUAGAGGAAAAUGGUAUCAGAGCAAGUUAAGAACAAGUAAAGAGAGAGUCUAGGAUUGACCUAGGAGACCUUAGGUUGGACAACCGUAAGGUUAUAGGUGCGUGAGUGGAACGUGAACCUAUAACGGUGGCGGAAGUGAUUCGAUUGGGUCAAGAUUGGAGAUACGACUCCGGUAGUUGCUAGAGAUGGAUCCAAGUGGUAUUAGUUCUUGACUUGAGGUGGUUGUGUUGGCGGCCGACGACAUGACUUGUGUGCUUCCACCACCGUUAUAGGUUAGAACAAGUACACUUGUGUGCUUCCGCCCGAUUUUGCUGUUGAGUCAUAGUUGCGACGAAGCGAACGGGUUAAGAUAAUUAACCAAGUAUUGGCGUUUCGGGAGCUAAUGGCACCAAGGGGACGCCCUAGUACGAGAUCUACUCCGACACCGCCUCCUGAGGUGCCUGAGCAGGCUGAACCAAGCGAGAUAGAUCGAUUGCGGGCGCAGGUGACCGCAUUAACCGAUGUGGUGGCCUCGACGGUGACCGAAGACGGCAGUCCGCCCGCACCCUUGGUGCGUGUACCUGAAGCGGCUGAGGGUAAGGGGAUUGCGGCAGUCUCGGUGGCGGCACGUCCCCCGCCGGCAAUUGUUCCUCCGGCGGCAUCGGGAUCGGCGACACCCGAUGUGACGGCCGAACAUGUGGAAGGGGAGCGCUCGUUGGCGGCUCUUAUUAAGUUCAAGAAGUUCAACCCGCAAAUCUUUGAAGGGGAGAAGGUAGAGCCGGCAAUUGUCGAGUCAUGGAUUGACUCGAUGGAAACGCUCUUUGAAGAUUUGCGCACCUUAGAGAGGGACAAGGUGUAUCUUGCCACCAAGCGGCAAAGGUGUGGUGGAAAUGUGUAAAGCGAGAUCGGCCUUUCGAUCUUCCACCGAUGUUGUGGGAGGAGUUCAAGAGGGUGAUAUUCGCUAACUACUUUCCCGAUACGUUGAAGCGGAAGCUCCAGGAGAAGUUCUGCAAGUUGGAGCAGGGGGACCACUCAGUGGCGAAGUAUGAGCAGGAAUUCUCCCACAUCAUAGACUGUGUCCCGGAUGUAGUGAGAGAUGAUCGGGACCGGGCCGACUGGUUCUUACGAGGUCUUCGGCCAGGGAUCUACAGGCUGUGCAGAUACUCAAGCUCCUGACCUUUGCGGAGGUCUUCGACCGGGCGCUUUGGGCGGAGCAUGGUGACGCUCAUGUUCGAGAGAAGUGCGAGUUGCUGGCUGAAUCAAAGGAUAAUGGCAAAAUGCGCCAAGGUGGCGGUUUGGGGGGACAAGCAAGUUCCAAAAAGCCCCUGAAGUAUCCACGGACUCAAUACAGGGGCCGUGCGGGGCAACGGUGUGUCAUAUGCGGUGGUGGCCACCCGACGUCGCGAUGUGAGCAACGCUAGGGCAGGUGCUUUAAGUGCGGGCAAUCGGGGCACUUCGCACGUGACUGCCCGGGAGGGGGAGCUUCACCUGCUCCAUCUAGUGCAUCAGCGCCGGCAGUUCCGGCUUAUUAGGGAGGAGCUCCACCGGCGGCAGCAUCAGCAGAGCGCGCGAUGACCCUACGACAGCCCGAGAUGGUGCGUUCGGCCCCGAGCGAACGGGUAUUCGCCGCUCAGGUCCGAGUCGAAGAGCCUGCAGAGGUAGAGGAGCAUCGCCUUGUGGCAGGUAUGGUUUUGAUUAACGGAGUUCGCUCCAGGGCUAUAUUUGAUACAGGUGCCACACACUCAUUUAUCAGUAGAUCAUUCGCACGCAUGCAUGACAUAGUCAUAGAGGUGAGUGAGGGUAAGUGGCGAGUGGAGGGCCCUGGGUCGACAUUUAACACCUAUGCGGAGUGUUUAUCGUGUUCAGUACANUUCGCUCCAGGGCUAUGUUUGAUACAGGUGCCACGCACUCAUUCAGCAGUAGAUCAUUUGCACGCAUGCAUGAUAUAGUCAUAGAGGUGAGUGAGGGUAAGUGGCGAGUUGAGGGCCCUGGGUCGACCUUUAAUACUUAUACGGAGUGUUCUUCUUGUCCAGUACAAGUAGGUGAUUGGAUAAUGCCUAUUCGGAUGUUAGAACUCAAGUACCUUAAAGAGUUCGAUGUCAUAUUGGACAUGGACUGGCUCUUUAAGUAUCAUGCAACGAUUGAUUGUAAGAACAGGGUGAUCACAUUUCGAGAGCCAGGACAGAAGGAGUUCACUUAUCGGGCUUGUCGGAGCUCGUGCUUCACUGCGACGUUAUCGGCGACGAGAGCUAGAAAGUUGGUCAACAGUGGUUGCGCAGCAUUCUUGGUGACUGUUGUGGAAGUGGACCGAGCAGCUCCGACCUUGGAAGAGCUGUUAGUGGUAUGGGAGUUCCCCGAUGUAUUUCCCGAAGAGUUACCGGGGAUACCGCUGGAUCGUGAGAUCGAGUUCGUCAUAGACUUGAUUCUCGGUACUGUGCCGAUCUCGAAGGUUCCGUACCGAAUGGCGUCGGCGGAACUGAAAGAGUUGAGGAGUCAGUUACAGGACCUCCUCGACAAGCAAUUCAUCUGACCAAGUGUAUCACCGUGGGGAGCCCCAGUGUUGUUUGUGAGGAAGAAGGACGGAUUGUUUCGACUCUGUGUGGAUUAUCGAGAGUUGAACAAAGUCACGAUCAAGAAUAAGUACCCACUUUUCCGAAUCGAUGACUUAUUCGAUUAGCUGCAAGGGUCGUGUGUGUACUCAAAGAUAGAUUUGCAGUCCGGCUACCACCAACUGAAGAUCAAGCCGGUGGAUGUACAGAAAAUCGCGUUUCGUACGCGGUAUGGGCACUAUGAAUUCACGGUCAUGCCAUUUGGGCUUACGAAUGCCCCGACGGCGUUCAUGGAUUUGAUGAACCGUGUCUUCAGGGAGUGCAUGGAUCGAUUUGUCGUGGUCUCCAUAGACGACAUAUUGAUCUAUUCUCGCAACGACGAGGAACAUGCCGAGCAUCUGAGGAUAGUGCUUCAAGUCCUCCGGGAGGAGAAGCUAUAUACUAAGCUAAAGAAAUCUGACUUCUGGCUCCAAGAGGUCGCAUUUCUAGGGCAUGUAAUUUUCGAGGGUGGAGUUUCUGUAGACCCGAGGAAAGUUGAGGCGAUCAAGGAUUGGCCGCGCCCGACGAAUGUCGCGGAGGUUCGAAGCUUCGUGGGCCUGGCAGGCUAUUAUAGGCGGUUUGUGGAAGGCUUCUCAAAGAUAGUGAUUCCACUUACCCGUUUGACCCAGAAAGGCACCAAGUUUGUUUGGAGCGAGGAGUACGACCGGAAUUUCAAAGAGUCGAAGGAAAGAUUAACUUCGGCUCCGGUGCUCGCUUUACCAGUGCAGGGUGAAGACUUUGUGGCUUACAGCGACGCAUCCUAUCUAGGAUUGGGGUGUGUCCUGAUGCAGGGCAGGAAGGUAAUCGCCUAUGCGUCCCGUCAGCUGAAGGGCUAUGAGAAGAACUACCCCAUCUAUGAUUUGGAGCUAGCGGCGGUGAUUUUCGCCUUAAAACUUUGGAGGCACUAUUUGUAUGGUGCGCAUUGCGAGAUCUACACCGACCACAAGAGCUUGAAAUAUCUGUUUAUACAGAAAAAGCUUAACAUACGUCAGCGGCGGUGGUUAGAACUACUAAAGGAUUAUGAUGUUGAUAUUUUUUACCACCCGGGGAAGGCGAAUGUGGUCGCAGAUGCGCUUAGCAAAAAGUCAGCGGAGAACCUCGCUAUGUCGGUUGCAAAUCAAACACCCCUAUGGCUGGACAGGGAGCAAAUGAACCUUGAGGUGGUUGCUCUCGAGAUUUUGGCUCAGUUGAUGGCGCUCGUUGUCCAACCGACCUUGUUGGAGAGAAUCAAGAAUCUGCAACCCGCGGACCCAGAACUCCAAAAGGUGCGGCGCAACAUCGAGAAGGGUCAUGGCGGCGAUUUUAUGGUAGACGCCGAUGGUGCACUUUGAUUCCAUAAUCGAUGGUGUGUGCCGAACAAUGAGGAGAUUCAAAAGUUAAUCUUGCAAGAGGCACAUUGGUCGCCUUAUUGUGAUCACCCGGGCGGCACCAAAAUGUAUCAAGAAUUGAAAAUGCACUAUUGGUGGCCUGGAAUGAAAGGUGAUGUUGGACGCUUCAUGGCGAAAUGCUUAGUAUGCCAACAGGUGAAAGCGGAGCGUCGAUUUCCAGCGGAAAAACUUCAAGGCCUACCAAUUCCCAUUUGGAAAUGGAAAGAUGUGUCGAUGGACUUCAUGGUUGGGUUGCCUCGUUCAUCGGGGGGCCACGAUGCAAUUUGGGUGAUUGUGGAUCGUUUGACGAAGUCGGCUCACUUUUUGCCGAUCCACACUACGUAGCCAGGUGACAAAUUGGCGCAUGUUUACCUCGACGAGAUAGUGAGGUUGCACGGGGUGCCGAAGUCGAUCGUGUCGAAUUGCGACCCCCGAUUCACCUCACACUUCUGGAAGUGCCUACAGGAAGCCCUUGUCAUACGGCUUGAUUUCAGCACCGCAUUUCAUUCUCAGACAGAUGGGCAAACAGAGAGGACUAUUCAAACUCUGGAGGAUAUGUUGCGAGCGUGUGUCAUCGACUAUAAGGAAAAUUGGUGUGAUUACCUGCCGAUGGCCGAGUUCGCCUACAACAAUAGUUACCAUACUAGUGUAAGAUGGCACCGUUCGAAGCUCUUUAUGGGCGGAAGUGUCGAUCUCCUAUACACUGGAGUGAUGUGGGUGAACAUGCAGAGUUCGGCCCCGAUGUUUUGCGAGAAGCAGAGGAGAAAGUCCGCCUUGCUCGCAGGAGAUUGCUCAUGGCACAAUCGAGACAGAAAAGUUAUGCAGAUAGGCGCAGUCGAGACAUAGAGUUCGCGGUGGGCGAUCGCGUGUUCUUGAAAGUUUCGCGAUGCGGGGUGUGAAGCGAUUUGGAGUACGGGGAAAGCUAAGUCCCCGGUACAUCGGACCUUAUGAGAUAUUAGAGCGAGUAGGCACGGUGGCCUAUCGGCUUGCCCUGCCGCCGAAGCUCGCCGAUGUGCAUAAUGUAUUCCACGUCUCCAAUCUUCGCAAGUACAUCCAUGACCCGGAGCACGCGAUGUUAUAUGAACCGCCGGGACUUCAAGAAGACUUGAGCUACGAGGAGUUUCCGAUGAUGAUUAUCGCCCGAGAAGUGCGAAAACUGCGAAAUCGAGAAAUUCCCUAUGUGAAGAUACGGUGGAGCAAUCAUGACGAUCACGAAGCCACCAGGGAACUCGAGGAGCUGAUGAAAAAGCAUCAUCCCCAUCUAUUUGAGGAUCGAGGUAGAAGUUUAAGUUUGAGAUGAGAAUUGGAUUAGUUUCGAGGACAAAACUCCUUUUUAGGAGGGGAGGAUGUAAGGAAGUGAAUUCUCGAAAUUCGAGAGUUGUACUUCGUCCAGAAUCAACUAAUUGUCGAGUGGGUAUGCUUCGGAAAAGUCGAAGAUGUCUAAAAUCCAAAAAGUGCAUUGGAGUUGUAGUCCACGAGAGCAAAUAGUGCAAAUCUGCACUGCUGCAGAUCAGGCUCUCGGGGACCGGUCCCUGGCAUGAGGGACUGGUUCCCGUAAGCUUGCUGCGUGGGGAAAACCCUCUGCGUACAAGUCUGCUCUCGGGGAUCGGUCCCUAGCGGGAGAGACCAAUCCACGUAAGCAGUGUGGAGUCCCAGUUGGCACCGGUCUCCCAGUGGAGGACCGGUUCCCAUAGGUAUCCUGCGAGAGCGUUGCUCUCGGGGACCGGUCCCUAGCGGGAGGGACUGGUCCCCGUGUGCGUAGAAGCUGGCUGGGAGCUCCAGCCUGUGGGGGAAGCUCUCGGGGACCGGUCCUCCCAUAGAGGGACCGGUCCCCGUGCGCGAAAACUGCCCAGGCAGAGCAGUUUGAGGAAAGCAAAGUGGAGGGGCUUGGCUGCAAUUAUGCCAUUAGUAAGGGGUAUAGUGGGCAAAUAACCCUCUCUCCCUCUCUCAUUUUCCCUCCUCACCCUUGUUCUCUCCCUCUUUCUCUCUAGAAAAGAAGAAGAAGAAGAAGGAGAAGAAGAAGAGAAGAAGAAGAAGAAGGAGAAGAAGAAGAAGGAGGAGGAGAACUUGAACGAGAUCCUUACCUUUAUCUUCUUCUCUUCCUCUCAACACUAUUAGAGCAAGCUCAGGAGGUGAGCUUCUAAACCCUAACAAUGGUAGAAACUAGGGUUGUGGAUUUCUAGCUUAUUAAUUGGGUCAAAUGGACCUCAAGCAUGAUUAAUAGAUGAUUUAAGCUAGAAUCUAGAUUUUUGAGGGAGUGGUUUUGCUAUGAGGCAAACCUAGGGCACCUAAAUUGGAGUUUUGCUUAAUAGAGUGGUUUGAUCUCAAUUGAUGGCAUCUAAACCUAAUUGCUAGGUGUCUAAACGCGUGGGCGAAGACGGAUUGAGCAUUCGUCGAGUCAUUGUAAUGUUAUCGGCAAAACAAGGCUGAACGGGCUUCGUUUCGACCUAAGCGGCCAAGAGAGCAUCGAAGCAAGUGCCGAGGAUCAUUCUUAGGACCUCUACGACGUAAAUCAUCUUCGAAAGGUGGGGGGUGUCAUCCCGAAGCAACCGAACUCCUUAUUAUGUCUUAGAACAUAUGAAAUUUCAUCUCUUGCAUAUGCAUUGUAGGAUUGCAUUGUAAUACCUUUUCCUUAUGCUUUCUAAAUAAUAACCUAGUGUGAGUUAAAUACUUGGUAAAUUAGAUAGGUAAGGAUUGGGUCGGAAUAUUGAAUCUUAUAGUGCUAAAAGAAAGAGAUGAACUCGAUGAUGACUAGUGAUAUUACGAGUGGCAUAUAAAUGAUAUGUGAACAAAACGAGUGGCAUCUAAUGUAGUGUAUUUUGACACUAGUGGUACGUGAACAUAGGGAUAGGAGGAUUUCCUAGUGAACGACUCGUGAACAAAGAACUUAGUAUAGCUAAGCACAUAUGCAUGAUUGUCAGAAUAGUUGAGUUCCGAGAGAAUUGUUGGCGCUAGUUCGUAGGUUGUCCUCAAGUGGAGAGGAUAGAUCAAGCUCACGGUCUGUUAUUCGGGUGGUAUAGCCAUCCAUGUCGUCGAGUACUUCGGAGUGUCGGGCAAUCGGGACAGAGUUGAUGUCCGCAGACAAUCCCGGGUUUGAGAGCGAGUUGAGUCUCCCUACCCAACGGGAUGAAGAUGUGAGUCGAGGGCGGCCCCAAGGGAUUCGCCAUGGAUUGGGUAAAUAAAAGAAUAAACCGUCGUUGAAUAUGGUUGAAUUGGACAUAGUAGCAUGAUAGUAAACCUUUACUAAAUGAUGCAUGCAUUCAUAUCCCUGAUUAUGGGCAUAGUAGCAUAGCUUUCCUAUUAUGUCAUUUACUAUUUUAGAUACAUAUCUUUCUAUCUAUUUGUUGUUACUUUGCCCACUUGGACCUAGUGGGAAGAUCGGCAGAGUCGGCGGCCGAGCCCACUGGGAACUAUGGAAGAUAGUUCUCACCCUACUUCAUUUCAGGGUCGAGUGCGGGCACGCCGGGCGAGGAUUGCGGCAAAGUCAUUGCGCCCGAGCAGUAGUAUAGUAGCUUCCUUUAUGCAUUAGAGUACUAUUUUGUACCUAGAUGCUUUAUGUUUUUGGAAGAGCUAAUGAUGUAAUUGAGAUGAACAUGUAUUCAUUUUGGAAAGGAUGUAAUUAUAAAAAGAAUGCAAAUAUGAUGUAAUAAGUAGUAGAUCUCUCUUUAUUUCACUUGUAUUACUUGUGGAUUACUUGCUCUUAGUUGUAGGCACUAGUUGUGCCCUUCGUUGAUUGUGUACUUAUAGAAUUUAAAUUUCUGGGUAAAUUCUUGUACUCGAUCUGUUGUUGAGCCUUGGGCGGACAGGGGAGGUGCUAUCCGUUCGGCGUCUGUUCAACGCGCCCGAAUCGGACCAAAUUGGUGGCGGUCUGAGGGAGUGAUAGUAUCAGAGCACAAGGUUACCGAUUUGUGGAAGAGAUCGACGGAGAUGGCCAUGAAAUUCGAAAUCGAGAAUGUCACGCCUCGGAUAUCACGUUCCCCGGGCCCGCCGACAAAUCCGCUGUAUACAAAGGAAUUUUCCCUGUAUAGGAAGCGAAGCUGUAACUGUACCUAUAAAAAUACAACACUACAACUAGUAGUAUAGAGCUGCUAGGGAAAAAAAACAUGCAUAUAUAAUAAAAAUGGAUCAGUACAUACACAGUAUCCUGGUACAAAAACACUCGCUCCAGUGAGGUAUAACAUCCGUAUGUAAUGAACCAAAAACUACAACUACCUGGUACUCCACUAGCUCUGGCUUGUUUGGUAGGGUUUUAACUCGCGAUGCUCUUGCCACGAUUAGGAUCAGCAGCAGCCGACGACGAUGGCUCUGCAAAAUGAAAAAGAAGAACAGGGCGUGAGAACUACUGUAUAAACAAGUAGUUCUCAGUGGGUGCCGCCCUCAACAAGGUCGGUCCACCCACUAAGUCUACAGAAGGGAGCAAGAAUAGUAGAAAAUGCUGGAAGAAAAUCUACAGCUACAAAGCACUACACUAUCAUGCUCUACUCUAACCAACUGUAGUAAAUGUCAAUUCUGACCCAAUCCAACUGGGACUGUAAGCCUACCCGUCCCUGGGACUUUGAACACACCUGUCCCGCCCAGUUGCGACUAUAUAGCUACCUUCACACUAAUCGGUCCGUGGAGAGCAAGUCCAACCUGCACGAACGACACCAACGCGAAAGCACAACGCCCGUCUCCGGAGUGGCACUCGUGGGAGCUACCCAACCGAGUAUGCAGCGUAUCUCUGAUGAGCUCAAUCAGGCUCUCAUAAGCCAAAGUCAAGCAAUAGGGUCUAACCGGUCUAACAACCAACAGGUCACGUGCCUUCAGCACAAUCUGACGCCAAAACGGCGAUAGGGGUCCACCGUCAACCCCGACGGCCCCCAACAGUCAGGAACAGUCUGAACACUAUUGUAAAAAUACACUCGGCAUCUCAGCGUGAGCGUAACUGAAAUCUAAACUACCUGGGGUAUCCACCACACUGAUACUGCAGUGAUACAAAAUAACAACGGCUUCUAAAGCUAAAUCAGGUAGUUUAAGCAUAUGACAGGUCAUAAUCGUUGUUUUCUCCUAAGUCAAAUUCCAGUCCAACAUGUGCUAAUAGAUACAUGCAACGAGGAAGCUCCAAUUCAGAUUUUACACGGAAUAUGCCAAAAUUCAUGAACUGAGCAAAAUCUAUCAACACAACAAUACAUGUCGACCAACUACAUACUUAGAAGACAAACCGACAUUUAAUCCACCUCGAUAGCUAAUCCCAAUCCGGCGCGACGUCGAGAAUGGCGGAAUCGCACCCUCGCCCGACCUCCUCACGAUGCUACGACGACGAAGACACGCUCGAACGGCACCGCGGCGCGACGUCGGCGAAACUCGAACUCCACCCGAGCUUUUCCUUGCUCGGCCGAUGCUAGAGAGAGAGGAGAAGAAACAAGUAGAAUACUCUCUCUCAGCCUCUCUACACAUGUAAAUAGUGAAAGGGUGGAGUGGUGACACGUACGAGGCACGAAAUUACCAAAAAGCCCCUUACCUACUCGGUGUACCGGUACACGGGCAAAUGUACCUGUACAAAUAGCAACCUGAGAGCAGCUGCGUAAAAUUUGUCGAAGUGUACCGAUACACCCCUGAUGUUGUACCGGUACAGAAAGUGUACCGGUACGCCUUGAUGGUUGUACCGGUACAACAAGCAGAAAAUCUGCUGUUUGUAGAUUCCAAUGCCAAGUCCUGCUCCCGCGUCCCCGUUGAGUCCGUUUUGCGUCUAUUUCGCGCCAACGUGACUCGGACUUGUCCCGACACUCUCCAGAGCUGUCGACAAGCCUCUCCUGCUGAACACCAGGGAUACCACAGAGAAGUUUGACGGCAAGAACAAUUUCAGAUUAUGGCAGAAUAAAGUACGGGCGAUCCAUGUACAACAAGAGUUAGAUGAGACGUUGAACGGGAAGGAGGCAAAGCCGGCGGAGGUCACGGAUGUGGCAUGAACGAAGAUGGAGCGGAAGGCAUUGAGCAUGCUUCAUUUAUCAUUAGCAGAUGAGGUUCUUUACAACAUAGCCAAUGAAACAACAUUGGCGAAGUUGUGGAAGAAAUUGGAAGAUCUGUAUAUGACCAAAUCUGUAACAAACAGGUUGUAUUUGAAGCAGCGACUGUUUAUGCUGCGGAUGCAAGAACCUGCGAGCCUACCUGAGCACUUAAACUAGUUCAACAAGAUGGUGGCCUAGUUGACUAGCAUCGGAGUCAAUCUGGAUGACGAGGAUAAGGCGCUGAUUUUACUAUUUUCGCUACUAGUAACAUAUGAGCAUCCGGUGACCACGUUGUUUUAUGGCAAGAAGACCAUAAGCGUGGAGGCGGUCACGUCGGCGCUUCUCUCGAAUGAGAUGCGGAAGAUGACUCAAGAGUCUGACACGCAAAGUCAGGAUGUAGGACUGGUAGUGAGUGCGAAGAAAAAGGCGACAAUAUCGGCGACCGGAGAUCGACAGAAGAAGCCGCUAUCUGAGGUGGAGUGCUUCUACUGUCACAGGAAAGGGCAUAUCAAGCGCAAUUGUUGAAAACUUCAGGAUAAUAUGAAGGAGUUAAAGCGAUAGAAGGAGAAAACUGUUGUGAACCAGGAUGAGACAGUAUCAGCGACGGCGUAGGCGGCAGAGUCGGAGACAAUUGAUUUUGAUGUGCUAUAUGCGCCAACCGAAGGUGCGAAAAUUUCGGAUGAUGCUUGGGUACUCAAUUCGGCGUGUUCUUUUCACGUCUGUCCGGAGAAAAAGUCUUUUGCCACCUAUAAGGCAAUUAAGGGUGGGAAGGCUCUGAUGGUGAAUGGGACGGCGUGCAAAGUUUUAGGAGUCGGCACGGUGAAGAUCCGAAUUCACGAUGGGGUCGUCAGGACGCUGAUGGGUCUGCGGCACGUUCUUGAUUUGAAGCGGAAUUUGAUUUCGUUAGGUGCGUUGGACUAGAAGGGUAGCGAUUUUUCAGCUUUAGGUGGAGCAAUGAGGGUCCGAAAGCGAGAUCGGGUCGUGUGCUAGGUGAACAAGCGUGAGAACUUAUACGUUUUGAACGGAUGCACAGUAAGAACGAAAGCGAAGACAGUUUGGGUUCCAAAAGUUCGCAGAGGUGCAGUCGCUUGAGGCGGAGCGGCGGAUGUGGCGAUAACAAGCGAAAAAGACAAGCUCAAGGUGGAGCUUGCAUGGUGAGCUCGAUGCAAGACUAGAAAUCCAACCAAGGUGGAGAAUGUUAGGAUUUGGUUAAAUUUGUAGUUUAUUUUCUAGUUAGAUAAGAAUUAAUAUUUAAAUAUGUUUGAGAUAAAUUAAGAUUUAAAUAUUAAUUAGAGUAUGAAUCUAACUAGAUUAGGAUAAAUAUUUAAAUCUAUUGAAGAUAAAUUAAUUAAUAUUUAAAUAUUUAUUGGAGUAGGAAUCCUAAAUAUACUAGGAUUGGGGUACGUUUUGGUAGAGCUAUAUAAAUAGCUCUUGAUGGGAUGCUUGGAGAGAGUACCGUGAGAGAGAGUGCCUUCUUGGGUGAAAUCGUACCAGGAGAGAGAAAGUCAUGGUUGAGUGCAGCUAGUCCACAGGUGCACGUGAAAAAUUGUCUUCUUUGUGGGUUUAUAGAAGACGAGAGAAGAGUAGGAGAGAUCAAAAAGAGGGCUCGAGUUGUAGCUACUCUGUUGCAGAAGAGGAUUCAGGUGUAUUCUUCUAUUAUUUAAUGAAUCUUAUUUUACCUGCAUAUUUUUCUAUUUUGGUUUUUUCUCUCUUUUAUGAUUGUAUCUGAUUUUGCUGAGAAGAUGAGUUAUGGUUAAAACCCGAUCCGACGCUUCCAUUGCGGAAUCCCAACAAUUGAUACCGGAUCAACAACAGUCGGUAUCGGAGUGGAUUGCGAAUUCUCAAAAUCUAGUACUGGGGCAAAUACCGGAUUCUCAAUAGUAUUUGUCUUUUCUUGCAAAAAAGAACAUCAGUAAUGCCAAACAAUGCUUUGCAGUUUGUUACACUAUUAACCUUUCCUCUAAUUUCUAGCAUAUUGGACAACAAACGUAUACUAAGGGCUUGUUUUGUUCGAAGUCGGAAUCGGAAUCAGAAUCGAAAUCGAAAUAAGCUGGAAUCAGAAUCGGAUUGACUCAUUACCUAAUUCUAUUUGGUUCAUCACCUGAAUCGGAAUUGGAAUCGGAAUAAAUCAUUCCCAUUAUCGGUGUUUGGUUUAGGUAGAUAUAAAAAACGUAAUCAAAUUAAUAUACUAACUUUAUCUUUAUAAUAUAUUAAUUUAAAUUCAAAUUGAAAAUUAAAUAUUAAAAAUUUACAUCAAAAUUUUGAAAUAAUGUCAAAACUUUAUAUAUAUAUAUAUUUUUUAAAGAAAUUAAACUUUGAAGAUGAGUGGAUAAUUCAAAAUAUAAAACUAAAUUUUGAUUUAUUCAAAUUCAAACUUUAAAUUAUAAUUUGAAUCCAUAAAUUUAAUGUAGUGUCCCGGGGGUUUGGUAUCGGAUUGGUUUCAGUAUUAGCGAUUGGUCGACACAUCUGUAGAAUGUCGGACGGAAUCGGAGUUAUUUUUGCCCAAAUUGGAUGCAAAAACGGACUCGGUGCACUCAAAUAAGAAAAACUGGAGUUUUGCCAGUUUCGGGCACCGAGAAUAUGGUUUGGGUCGCCGAGAACUUGAGUGCUGAACUGAGCUGAAACUUGAAGCCAAUUCGGAUCCUGUUUUCGGGCGCCCAGAAGUGGGCCCGAAUGAUUUUUUUGGGAAUAUCGUUUGCGUUGACACGUGUAUGGUGGUAGGUGAGGUACGUCGGAUCACGUUAGGGGCACAUCAGACCACAGGCGGAGGAAUCGAUAAGGGAGCUUUGUAUGUCCUGGAGGUUUCGGACGCCCAGAAGUGGGUUUCGAGCGCCCGAAAGUGCAGAAUUCUGCAGGGACAGCAGGUUAGUGUUUCUUAUUCUUGGGGCUUAUUAGACCAUCCCACCUCCUUAUAAAAGCACAAGGUCGAUCCCCUGAGAUGAUUUUUCACCCUCUUUCACAGUGGAGCCUCGAAUUUGCAUUUUAGCCCUCCAAAUUCUCCAAUUUACACAAUUCCACCUUGAGGAAUGCAGUUUCUGUAGAUUUCCAGCAGCGACCUUCGGCGUUUUGACACGUGUGCGACGUAGGGAGCUCCGAUUGCUGCGAAACUUGGUUUGGUGGUUAGUAGACUUCUUGGAGUUUUCAUGGAGCCUAUUUUGACAGCAUUUGAUUGAGGUUUGUAAGGUCAAUUUGGUAUUUUUCUGAGCUGCUAUUAUGCUUGAGCUGAAUUGAAGUUUUUAUGGUUUUCUUGGAUCAACUUUUAGAAGGAGCUGGAUUUUCAACCUGAGAUUAUUGUUCCAUCAUUCUCCACUCGUUUUGGGACCUUCCUUCAUCUGGUUUGAGCAUUAGAAGGUGAGUUUGACAUUGAGAUUAUGGUGAAAUUAAGCUUAAGUGCUAAAAUUAUGGGUUUUGAUGGAAUUUUUGGGUUUUUGUGCUUUGAUCCUUAGAGAGGCUAGUUGCUGAGUUGUUGCUAGUCUUGGAAGGGUUUCUUUUAGCGUUUUCUUGCUGUUGUCGAGCUCGCACUAGAGGGGGGGUUAAUGAUAUGCUUACCGGAUUCUACAGUUUUCCUCCUAAGAUUAGUUGAUGUCAGCAUGUAUUAUUUUUAGUCUUUGUAUGUCAUGUUAUUUUAGCUCAAAUUCAUUGAUUUGCUUGCUUAUUGAAAUCUAAAUUUGGAGCAUAAAGUAGUGAUUUAGAUAAAGUAUACCUAUUGGACUUGGAAUUGACUUAGGAGAAAACUAUCGAUUCUACACCAUCAUUUUCUGAAACUACCAGAUUUAGCUCUAGGAGCCGUAGUUUGUUUGUAUUGCCGUAGUUUGUGGGUGGUGGAUAUCCAGAAUAGUGUAGAAUGCAUUUACGCUCGUGCUGGGAUGCCGAGUUUAUUUUUAUAGUAGUAUAUAGUCUGUUUUGGACUCUCGGGUGCCAUUGUGGUUGACGGUGGAUUCAGUUUGCAAUUUUUGCAUCGUAUUGUGCUGAGAGCAUAUUUAUUAUGGUUAUAGAUCAGUUAGACCCUUCUGUUUUGACUAUAGCCUGUGAGCGCCUAAAUGAACUUCGCAAAGACACUUAUAAUGUCACACCCCGGAUUACUUGUUUUCACGGGCUCGCUAACAGACCUGUCGUAUACAUAGGUAUUUUUUCUGUAUACGAAGCGAAAAAGUAGAAGUAUCUAUAAUCAUACAAUACCACAAACAGUAGUAUAGAGCAGCUAGAAAAAAAAAAUCAAAUAUAUAAACUGUGGUUCAAUACAUAUAUGUCAUCCAGGUAUACAAACACUCGCUCUGGCGAGAUAUAACAACUAUAUGUAAAGACCAAAAAACUACAACUACCUGUAGCUAGUGCUCCUCUAGCUCUGCGACGCGACUGGAAGGGCUCUAACUCGCGACGCCCUUGCCACGAUCAAGAUCAGCAACAGCAGUAACCGAAGGCGACGGCUCUGGAAAAACAACGGUAACAACAGGGCGUGAGAACUACUGUAAAAAUAAGUAGUCAUCAGUGGGUACCGCCCUCAAACUCAUCAGUCCACCCACUAAGUCUACAGGGAUAAAUAGUAAUAGUAAAGAAAGCUGAAACAAAUCUACAGCUAAUGCCACUAUACUAUCAUGCUCUAAAUCUAACCAUCUGUAAAACAGUGUCAACUCAGACCCAAUCUCAAAUAAGGACUAUAAUCAUACCCGUCCCUAGGACUGUGAACACACCCGUCCCGCCCGGUCGCGACUAUACAGCUACCUCCACACUAACCAGUCUGUGGCGAGUAAGUCCAACCUGCACAAACGACACCAAUGCAAAAGCACAGCGCUAGUCUCCGGAGUGGCACUCGUGGGAGCUACCCAACCGAGUAUGCAGCGUAUCUCUGUCGAGCUCAAUCAAGCUCUAACAAGCCAAAGUCAAGUAGCUAGGGUCAAAACAGGUCUCGAAACCAAACCCACGUGCCCUCGGCACAAUCUGAGACCAAAACAGGAAUCUGGGUCCACAGUCCACCCCGACGGCACCCGACAAUCCGAAGUAGCCUAGACUCUACUGUAAAAAUGAGCUCGGCAUCCGAGCACGAGCGUAAAUGCAUUCUAAACUACCCCGGAUAUCCACCACACUGAAAUAGCGGUGAUACAAUCAAACCACGGCUCCUAGAGCUAAAUCAGGUAGUAGAAUCAUAUGACUGGUCGAAUCGCUGGUUUUCUCCGAAGUCAAGUUCCAAGUCCAACAUGUAUAUUCAUAUAAUUAUUAAUCAUACUCCCAAUUCAGAUUUCAUAUAUGCUACAAUCAACGAAUUUGAGCUACAACAUGAUAUACAAGAACCGAAAUCAUACAUGUCAACUACAAGCACUUAGGAGCAAAACCGAUGAAACACCUACCUCAAAUGCUCUUUCCUGGCACUAAGGAGAUCUCGGAACUGCUGCGAGACUCAGCCGAAAUCACACCAAAACAGCAACUGGCAUACGUGAAGGAUCUAGCAUCGAAAACCACAAAAAUUCAAUAAUUCAGCACUUAAGCUUAAAUUAGCUCAAAUACAAUGCUAAUUUCACUAGAUUAUCUUCAAAUCAGCAGUAGCAAGGUUCCCUCAGCAGUGAAUUGGAUAUAGAAAGUUUCUUAGGUUCAAGACUACCCUUCUCCCAAGAUCUGAACCCAAGAUAACCAAGUUGCAUCAAUGACAAUGCUAAUUUCAGCGCUUAAGCUUAAUUAACCUAACUCCAAUGUCAAAACUCACCUAAUCACAUCCGAAUCUAGUGAGGAGGGUCUCAAAUCUAGUAGAGUAAACUGAGAUAUCUAACUCAGGUCCAAACUUUCCUUGCUUCCCAAGAUAGCAUCAAGAAAACUCAAAAAAAUAAAUUUUCAGCACAAAGUCACCAGCAGUCUAGAAAAAUAUAGAAUCGACCAAGCUAACCUCAACGAAAAUCUACAAUUCUAGGCUUCGUGGAUUCCUUUAGAAGUCUAGAAUCCAGCAAACCAAGUUUCACUGCAAUCCGACCUUCCAAUUGAAAGAUUGGAUGAAAUCCGAAAAAAUUCGAGGAGUGGAGGAGAAAUCAGAGGUGCUAAUGUGAAGAGAGAGUGAAAAGAGUUCACCAGGGUCACUCUCUACCUAUUUAUAGGGUGCUGGAAUGGUAGAAUAAGCCCCAAGAACAGCUGCUGCAAUCUGGUGUCCCUGCAGACUCGGGCAUUUUCGGGCGCCCGAGCCCACAUUAUGGGCACCCGAAUCCUCCAGGCUACACAAAGAUUCCUCCUCGGACUGUCCACCUGCGGUGUGCUACGCCCGUAUCCGGCUCCGGCGGACCUUACCAACCACCUGCCACGUGUCAGCACAAACGAUACUCACGAGAUGAACUUUUCGGACCCUCAUCCGGGCGCCCAAAACAUGGACCCGAAUUGGCUUCCAGUUCUGCUUAGUUCUGCACUCAACUUCUGGGCGACCCAAAACAUAUUCUGAGCGCCCGAAUCUGGCAAAACUCCAGUUUUGCUUAUUUGAGUGCGCCGAGUCCAUUUCUGCAUCCAUUUCGCGCAGAAACGAUUCCGACUCAGUCCGACACUCUCCAGAUGUGUCGACCAGUCACUAACACUGAAGCCAAUUCUAUCCAAAGCUCAGAAAUACUACAUGUAAACUCAGUUGGGUCGCACCCACGAAUGCCAUUCCGAAAUGAGGUUUUAGUGCGAUGAGAUCGCAGUUUCUGUUUGGACGGUUCUUGAGCUCGAUUCAGGUAGGGUGGGUCCGUUUGGACAGCCCGUGUGAGAUUGGGUUAGUGGUAGUUAGUGAUGCCUUGCUCUACCUUCAGUGAAGUUGUGACGUGAAUUGGAUGAGUCAUUAGCAAAAGAGGUUUCAAAUAUUCUGUCUCAAAGUAUCAAGAAAUCUCCACCAUCAGUCCAGAAUAAAUAUGAACCAAAUUGUCAAUAAGUCAAGACUAACAUAAUUGGAUGGGAGUUCGAAACACAAUUUCUCAUUCAUAUUUCAAAGAAACUUUGAAUAACAUUUGAAUAUCAAAUCGAUUUAUAUGUGCUGCGGGUGGAAAUACACAAUCAAAUUUAAAAAAAAUGUAGAAUUGAUAUAAGACGGGCAUAACCGAGGUUGCUCUGGAGACAAUAUCUUUUCAGUAGAAGUGAAUGAUAUUGUUGAGAAAUAAAUUAUCAUUUAAAAUUUUCAUUUUUUAUUUUUAAAAUUUGUAUUUUAGUUAAUUUGUUUUAGAGAUAAGCUAAUGAAGGUUCGAGUACUAUAUUUUAGUUCAAGAACAGAAUACAAUACUCAAACGUUCAAUAGCAAAAAAGCUUCAAAUAUUCUGUGUCAAAAUAACGAGAAGUCUCCACCAUCAGUCUAGAAUAAACAUAAACCAAAUUGUCAAUAAGUCAAGACUAACAUAGUUGGAUGGGAGAUCGAAACAGAAUUCCCCAUUCAUAGUUCAAAGAAAAUUUGUAUAACAUAUGAAUAUCAAAUCGAUUUAUAUGUGCUGCGGGUGGAAAUACACAAUCAAACUUUUAAAAAACGUAGAAUUGAUGCAAGACAGGCAUACGCCGAGGUUGCUCCGGAGACAAUAUCUUUUCAAUAGAAGCAAAUGAUGUGGCCGAGAAAUAAAUUAUCAUUUCAAAUUUUCAUUUUUUAUUUUUAAAAUUUGUAUUUUAGUUAAUUUGUUGUAGAGAUUUUUCUUACAUCUUUAGUAUUUUCCUAUAUGGAAUAAAUCUCUAAAAAUUUAAGAUGUGGUUUUCGAAAUUUUAAAUUGCGGUUAGAUUUAUUUUUUUAAAUUAUGAAGGUAUAUUUUAAAAUCCUAAGAUUUAAUCCUGUCUAGAAUUAAAUUAAGUUUUCUUAAUAUAAAGUGGCAAAGCAUUUAUAGAAAGUUUUGAUCAAACAAAAUAUAGCAACCUUAGCAACUUUGGCAUAUCAUUCUUGUUUUCUUUCUUUUUCUCUAGUUUUUCUUUUUCCUUUUCCAGUGCUACAAUAUCUUUAAGGGUUAUUUGCAUAAACGUCCCUGCAAACAUAGUAAAUUGCAGAAAUAUACCUGCAAAACGAAAAUUCCAUAAGUUGUCCCUACAAAAGUCAUAAAUUAUGCAGAUAUCUCCCUGCUGUUAGAGUCUGUUAGAGAAAUUUAGUUAACCACAGUUACACUACUUAACCAUAAUUAAUUAAUAGUGUGAAUUUACGGUUCUACCCUUCUUCCUUAUCCUUCUCUUCCUUUUCCCUCUUCUUCGUCGUCGGCGAAGAGAUGCAGCGGCGGCGGCGGCGACGACGGCGGCGAAGCCUUUCCCUCUUGUCCAUGCGCGAGCUCGCCAAGGGCAUCACCUACUCCGAUCUCCGCCGCCGCUGGCACAUCCUCGUCGAUGGCGACGAUGUCCCCCCGCCCAUCCCUUCCUUCCGCGAAAUGCGCAUCUCCGACCCCGUCCUCCGCAAGAUCCGGGAGAAGGGCAUCGUCCGCCCCACCCCUAUCUAGGUCCAGGGCCUCCCUGUCGUCCUCUCCGGUCGCGACAUGAUCGACAUCGCCUUCACCGGCACCGGCAAGAUCCUCGUCUUCGUUCUCCCCCUCAUCAUUGCCGCCCUCCAGGAGGAGCUCAUCAUGCCCAUCGUCCCCGGCGAGGGCCCUUUCGGCCUCGUCGUCUGCCCCUCCCGCGAGCAGUUCCUCGCCCCGCUCAGGGACCACGGCUUCCCGAAGAUCUGCCCCCUCCUCUGUAUCGGCUGCAAACCCUAUCCGGCGGCGGACGGCGGCGGCGGCGCUGGAGAGGAAGAGAAAGAGAAGGGAAAGAAGGAUACUUUUGGAGGGAUAUAUUUUGAGGGCAAAAAGGUCAUUUCAUAAGAAAACUGUUAAAAAAUAAACAGUUCACUAGCGGAUUUUAACCAGAAGGGCAUAUUUGCAUAACUUAUGACUUUUGCAGGGACAACUUAUGGAAUUUUCAUUUUGCAGGGAUAUUUCUGCAAUUUACUAUGUUUGCAGGGAUGUGUAUGCAAAUAACCCUAUCUUUAAAUAUAGUACAUGCUAUAAUUCCUUUUAGAUUGCAUCAGUUGGUAUCAGAGUAGCCAAGAAAUAAACUAUAAGUUAAAACUUUAUUUUUUUCAUUUUCAAAAUUUUUAUUUUCGUCAAUUUGUUUUGGCCAAUUUGCAUAAAAUAUUUAUUAGUUUUGAGAUUUUGCAGAUUCGAUCUGAAUUUUUAGAAAAUUAUUCAAAAUAUCCUUAUUUCUUUCUCUCUCUUCUUUUUUUCUCUCGUUAUUUAUUUUUAUUCUCUCCAAAGAGGGCAUCGAAGGUAGAGGCGAGCCCGUCUUGUCUCUACCCCUUGCGCCCUUGCAUGCGCCGGCGCCUGCUCAUCCCCUACCCUCCUCGCCUCCGAUCCUACUCUUUUUUUCUUUUUCUUUUUUUUUCUCUCUAGCCUUCCUCCACCACCUCUGCAGUCCUCUGCGAUGGUAAUGAAGAUAGCACCGCGUCCUCUUCUUCCGCCUUCGCCCUACAUCUCCACUACAGCAGAUUUUUCACCCACCAAACCUACUUUUGUAAACCUGCCAUCCCCCCCAUCGUCGUCGACAACGAAGAGGAAGCACUUCUCGGCACCGAGAAGCUCACCGACGAGGGAAGGGGCAUGGGGCCCACUGCGCCUAUCUAAGGACAGCGACGAGUUAGGUGGAGAUAGAGGGGAGCACAACGACACUGGAGAAGAGGGCGGCAACAAGCACGACGGGAUCGGAGGCAAAGAGGGCGGGAGGUGCACGGGAGCAUCUCUAAUCAAGCACUUUUGUUUGCUGAAAAUAAGAAAAAUAACUAAAGGCCAAAAAUUAGAAAAUAAGAAAAAAUAAGUAGAGAAGAAAAAAGAAAAAGAUGAAGUUACACUGUUAUCGACAUAAGUUGCACUCCGUGAGAUGUAUAUUGUACCCUUUAAGAUGAAAGUUAUACUAUUUAAAUGAAAGUUAUACUCUUUGGGAGAUAAUUAUAAUGUUUCUCCUCCUCCUCCUUCCCCACCACUUCAUCGUCCUUCUUCUAUACCCAACUUCCUCCACCUCCACUGCAGCAUCUCUCGUCAAGCACUUUUAUUUGCUUAAAAUAAAAAAAAAUUAACUAAAGGUCAAAAACUAGAGAAUAAGGAAGAAGAAGGUGAGAUUGCACUAUUUUAAAAGAACGUUGCAUUGUUAUAGACGUAAAUUGCACUUUUUGAGAUAUAAAUUGUGCCCUUUAAGAUGAAAAUUAUAUUUUUUAAACAAAAGUUGCACUCUUUGGGAGAUAGUUACAUUGUUUCUUCUCUUUCCCAGCCUCUUUAGGAGAUAGUUAAACUCUUUAAACAAAAACUUGUACUAUUGAAAAAGGAGGAGAAACAGUGUAACUAUCUUUCAAAGAGUGCAACUUUUAUUUAAAGAGUGUAACUUCUAUCUUAAAGGGUGCAGUUUAUAUCUCAAAGAGUGUAACUUAUGUCUCUAGCAUUACAACGUUCUUCUAAAAUAGUGCAACUUCAUAUUCAUUUUUCUUUUUCUCUAGUUCUUCUUUUUUCUCUAGCUUUUGGCCUUUAGUUAAUUAUUUUCUGUUUUAAACAAAUAAAAGUGCUUGACCAGAGAUGCUCCUGUGCACCCCCGUCCUCCUCGCCUCCAACCCUGCUGAGGCCAUGCUCACCGUUGCCCUCUGGGACGCCGCCUCCGCUUCAACCACUCUCUUAUCCAGUGCCAUCGCGUUCCCCUUCAUCUCUACCUCACUUGUCGCCAGCCCUCGGUGAGCGCGGUGGGCCGCAUGCCCCUUCCCUCGCGGCUAGCUUCUCAACGAUAGUGGUGAGGACGACGAGUUUCCAGAAGUGGAUUUUGUCGGUGAAAAUCUGCUGCAAUAGAGGUAAAGGGCGAAGGCGGAGGAAGAGGACACGGUGCUGUCCUCGUUACCGUUGCGGAGGACCGCGAAGGUGGUGGAGGAGUGUUGGAGAGAACAUAAAAAAGAGGGUCGUAGCGUGGCCUCGGCAGGGUCGAAGGCAAGGAGGGUGGGGGUGCGCGGGCGAGGGCGUGUAGGGCAGAGGUAAGGCGAACCGCCUUCGCCUUUGCCGCCCUCUUCAAAGUGAAUAAAAAAAAGAACAAAAGAAAAAAAGAAGAAAGAAAAAGGAAUAAGGGUAUUUUGAUAAGUUUUCUUAAAAUUCGGACCGAAUCUGAAAAAUUCAAAAUGAUGGCCUACUUCUACAAAAAUCUCAAAAUUAAUAGAUUUUUUUUUAUGCAAAUUGGCCAUUUGUUGUAGAGCCUUUUCUUAUAUACUUUUAGAAUUAUUCCAUGUGGAAUAAAUCACUAAAAAUAAGGAAGAUGAUUUUAGAAGUUUUAAAUUACAAUUAAAAAUAUUUUUAUUAGAAAAUUUUUUAAAAUCAUGGGAUUUGAUUGAGCCUAGAAUUUGAGUUUUGUAAUAUAAAUAUGGAUAAUUUUUCUGAAGAGGGAUUUUGAUGAAGUAAAAAAUGUAGUGACCCUGGAAUUUAGCAUUUGAGGCUUGUCGACAGCUCUGGAGAGUGUCGGGACGAGUCUGAGUACUGUUGGCAUGAAAUAGACGCAAACUGGACUCAGCAGAACGCGAGAGCAGAGAGUUAGCAUUGCAAUCUGCAAAUUGCAGAUUUCCAGCAAUUGGUACCGGUACCACACAGGGGGGUACCGGUACCCAGUGCAUUUUUCUGCGCAGACUGCUCUCGGGUUGCCCAUUCUGCCGGGGUAUCGGUACAACAUUGAACUAGUACCGGUACUCCAAGGGAGGUGAGGGGCUGUUUGGUCUUUUGGCUGCUUCAUUGUUUUCACCCCCUCUCCCACUCCUUCAUAUACGUGUAGAGAGGCUGACGGAAGGUUUUGCAUGUUCUCUCCUUCUCUCUCUCUCUAGUUCUUGAGCCAUACGUGAAGGAGGCCUCGGGUGGAGUCGGAGCGACGUCGACGUUGCGCCGCGGUGCCGUUCGAGCGUGCUUUCGUCAUAGUAGCGCCGUUGGGAGGCCGGGCGAGCGUGUGGUUCCGCUUCUAUCGACUUCUUGCCGGAUUCGGAGUAGCUUUCGAGGUGGGUCAAAGUGAUGCUUACCGGAUUUCACAGAUUUUUCUCCUAAUUCUAUAUGUUGACAGCAUGUAUUUUUAGCUUCGUUUGGCAUAUUGUUUAGCUCGAUUCUUAGAUUUGCAUAUUAUUGAUCUUGAAUUGGAGCUUAGAAUACUAGCUAAAUUAUACAUGUUGAACUUGGUUUUGACUUAGGAGAAAACUGGCGUUUCUAUACUGUCAUAUGUUAAACUACCAGAUUUAGCUCUAAGAGCCGUAGUUUAUUUGUAUCGCCGCAGUUGUGGGCGGUGGAUACCCAGAAUAGCAUAGAAAAUAUUUACGCUCGUGCUGAGGUGCCGAGUGUAUUUUUACAGUAAUGUUUAGGCUAUUCCGGAUUGUCGGGUGCUGUUGGGAUUGACGGUGGACCCAGAUUGCUGUUUUUGCAUCAGAUUGUGCCAUGUAACGUACCGAAAUUUCGGUGGAAAAUAUCGAACUUUGGCCAAAUUGGCUAAAAUGUGCGAAAGAAAUAGUUGGACGAGUUCCAGUUAAAGAGUUGGCCAGCGACAACGGCGGUGGUUGGGGUUAUUGAAAGAUUACGACGUUACUAUUCUAUACCACCCCGGAAAGGGAAAUGUCGUGGCCGAUGCACUUAGUAGAAAAUCGGGAAAAAACUUGGCUUCGGCAAUUAUACUCCAACCGUUGUUGCAAAAGGAGAUGCAACGACUUGGUCUUGAGGUAGUGGCUUCGGGAGUGCCGGCAACCCUUGCGGCGUUGGUUGAUCAACCGACCUUGUUGCAGAGGAUAAAAGAGUUGCAAGCUUCCAAUGAGUAUCUCCAAAAGGUGCGCGGAGAAGUUGAAAGCGGUAGUGCCGAUGAUUUUGGCGUUGGGACCGACGGCACCCUUCGAUUCCGAAAUCGUUUGUGUGUACCAAAAAAUAAGGACAUUCGUAAGACGAUUAUGCAAGAAGCACAUCAAUCUCCUUAUAGUAUUCCCUCGGGCGGCACCAAGAUGUACCAAGAUUUAAAAGUGCACUAUUGGUGGCCAGGCAUGAAGAAAGAUAUUUGGGAGUUCGUGGCACAAUAUCUUUCGUGCCAACAAGUAAAAGGGAGUUGCGGUUUCCGGCGGAAAAAUUGCAAAGCUUACCUAUACCCGUUUGGAAAUGAAAAAAUAUCGCUAUAGACUUUGCGAACGAUUUGCCCCGAUCUCAAGGUAGACACGACGCAAUUUGGGUGAUAGUAGACCGGUUGACGAAGUCGGCGCAUUUCCUAUCAAUUCAUAUUACAUGGUCGGGAGACAAGUUGGCUCAAGUAUACAUCGACGAGGUUGUGAGACUUCAUGGGGUUCCGGUAUCAAUUGUAUCGGAUCGGGACCCGAGAUUCAUAUCUCACUUUUGAAGGAGCCUACAGGAGGCGUUGGGCACACGGCUCGACUUUAGCACGGCAUUUCGUCCUCAAAGUGAUGGUCAAUCGGAAAGGACAAUACAAAUACUUGAGGAUAUGUUUCGAGCGUGUGUACUUGACUACAAGGGUGGUUGGCAUGAUCAUCUACCGAUGGCGGAGUUUGCGUACAAUAACAGUUACCAAGAGAGUAUCGCGAUGAUGCCAUUCUAGGCCCUUUAUGAAAGGAAAUGUCGCUCUCCUAUUCAUUGGAGCCAGGUGGACGAGAGAGUGGCUCUUGGCCCCGAUGUAGUGCGGGAACCGGAGGAGAAAGUUCGCCUCGCCCGCCAACGACUUGCUACGGCGCAAUCUCGGCAAAAUAGCUAUGCCGACAAGCGAAGAAAAGAUAUCGAGUUCGCGGUUGGUGACCACGUAUUCUUAAAAAUAUCGCCAAUGCGAGAAAUAAAACGGUUUGGAAUCCGUGGGAAGUUAAGUCCCUGGUAUCUUGGAUCGUUCGAAAUAUUGGAACGCGUUGGCGCUGUGGCCUACAAGAUAGUAUUACCACCGAGGCUUGCGGGAGUGCACGAUGUGUUUCAUGUAUCGAAUCUCUGCAAGUAUGUUCCUGAUCCCGAGCAUGUCCUCUCGUUUGAACCGUCCGAGAUUCAAGAGGAUAUGACUUAUGAGGAGUUUCCGGCAUACAUCAUCGAUCGAGAAGUAAGAAAACUACGGAACCGCGAGAUUCCGUAUGUUAAGGUCCGUUGGUGCAACCACAAUGAUCAGGAAGCCACUUGGGAGCUCGAGAGCACGAUGUGGGAGCAUUAUCUCCAUCUCUUCGAGGAUCUGGAUUAAGGUAUGGAUCUAGAUUUUAAUCAAGUUAGUUUAGCGGACGAAACUAAUUUUAAGGAGUGAAGAAUAUAACGUACCAAAAUUUCGAUGGAAAAUAUCGAACUUUGGCCAAAUUGGCUAAAGUGUGCGAAAGAAAUAGUUGGACAAAUUCCAGUUAACAUGCCAACAAGGUUGGAAGGGUUAAAAAUGAGUUCCAAAAGGAUUAGAAUGGUUUUAGCGUUGUUCGGCACGAAAUAGAAUCGAAAAGAUGCUAAAACCCAAGUCUGGGCAAAGUGUACCGGUACAACAUUGAUGUUGUACCAAUACAACACUGCAACCCGAGAGGAAUUGCUCUUGGGUUUGCCUCUGCGCGAUCGUGUUACUGGUGACAAGAACCCGUGUACCGGUAUACUUUGGUCUCGCAGCAACUUGAGGUUUGCUUUAAGAUAGAAAGAAGUAAGGGACUUUUUUGUAAAUGUUACCACAUGUUAACAUCCCAACACCCCGUCCCUCUCUCUUUCACAGCCAACACACCACUCUCUCACAUUUUUCUCUUUCUCUCUCUAGAAACCUCUCUAAAGAGUAAGGAGGUCGAGUAGAAGGCUUUGGAGGAGAUUUUUGGUGCGUUUGAAGGCUUUGAAGCUCUUCAACAAGGUGGACUUGGGUGAGCUUGUGGCUAAGGUGAGGUGUUUUGUGAGAAUAGGUCUAGGGUUUGGUUUCAUGUCCUAGAAAACUAGGUUUUGAUCUUCUCUCAUGUAUAGAAACCUAGUAGGAGCUUAGAACACAUGGACACCCUAGUUUUCUCUAUGUGCUCUAAUAGUAGAUUUCUAGGGUUUGCUUUAUAUGCCCUAGAAAUGGUUUAAAUGAUUCUAGAUGAGCUUCUAAGUAUUGGAUAAGCUCUCUUUUGCUUGUUCUAGAGGUCAAAACCUAGGUUGGAGCAAAUGGCAACAUUAGGGCACCAAAUUUGGGGCUUUGCCCUAGGGUGUUUCUAAGUCAAAUUAACCUUGUAGAAACCUAAUUAGAGGUAUUCCCGAUGCAAUGGGAAACUCGGUUCGACGAAACGAAAAAGUUUAAAAAAAGUUAUUGUAUAAAAAGCCUAAUUUGGCUUCGUAUUGCCGCAGGCGAGCGAGUAGGCACCAAAAAAAUUUCAAGAAUUAAACCAUAGUAUCCCUACAACCAUCCAAGGUGGGUGGUCCAUUCCAAGGACCUCAAAAUUUUCUUUAUGUCUAAAGUGUCAUAUUUGAGCAUAUAUAUGUGUUGAGCAUAUUGCAAGUAGGGUUACUUCUGAGCUUGUUAUUUCAUGUUUUGAAUUCAAAUGCAUGUGAAAUACUAGUAAGAAAGUGAGAAUUUAUAAACCCUAUGUAUGCAUGAUAAAUGACAAGAACUUAGUCGAUUUAGAAAACAAAUGUGACAUGUGGACAUGAAUGUAGAGAGUGACAUUGUUGAGUCAAUAAAGCUAGAAUUGAACACGUAGAGAACAAAUGUGCAUGUGUGUGUCAGUACAAAGUAGUGUAUAUGACACUAGCGAAAGUAAAGGAUGUAAGUAAAGGAGUGAUUGUGACAUUAUGACAUAGCAACCUUAGAGUUAAGGGUCAUGUCAUGCCUCGCGACCAACCGCCAAUUUGCACCGGGUCGUGGCGCCACCGACAGACCGCCGAACGGACCGCGAAUUCCCCUGUACGCGGACAGAGUCUCCCCAGUACGUCCAAGGCGUCGCAAUCCAAACAAUCAACGAAUGUUCCAACAAGGAACGGAUAUCAAUCCAGAUUGCAUAAGGAAGUAUCAAAUACAUAAUCUACUUGCUAUUACAAGCAUUCAUUUCACAAUCACGUUUUACAUCACAGUUUCAGUUUACAUUUUUACUUCCAAAUUACAAUCUCACUAUUACAUCAGAGUUUACAAGUUUGAUACAUUUUCUUUUCUUGUCUUCUAGACCCCUAAGCUAGACUGUCUCAGGGUACUGCUACCUCGGUCUCUGUGGUAGGGCGCUAUCUACUGAGCUACGCCCUCGCCUCGCGCCGCCGCGCAGCACACGAACGACCUGAAAACCCCAAAACAACGUGGGGUGAGAACCAACUCCAUGGUUCCCAGUGGGUACGGCCACCCAAGGAAAAAGCUCGAUCGAUAGGUCCGAUGAGGCACAGCAACAUGUUAGUUCAACAAUAUACAACAGAUAUAUAUAUUCAAUUGAAAUACAUGCCAUGCCUCACAAUAUGCGAUAUGAAAAUCAUGCAACAACUAGUAGAUCAUUUGAAUUCUACUUUUACUUGGCUACUUUAGCUCAUAACUUUACUCUAAGGUUUCUAUUACCUUAGGAUCAUAAAACCAACCACUAGCUUCUAAGGUUUCUAUUUACCUUAGCUCAAGCCUCUAUCUCUAGCUCAUAAGGGUUCCUCUACCCUAUUAUAGCUAACCACUCGACUUGGCUUCGAGUCAAUCAUCUGCGGAUAGUCCGCGUACUGGCUGCUCAACAGCCUACCGCACUCUCUCUGACUCAGCCUCCUAGCGGCGAAAUCGUCGCACACGCUGAACACGGCUCGAGUCGCAUGACUUGACCAUCGGUGGCGAUUGCGUUGCACUUACCCAGCGUGAAUCGAGACAUGACAUACCGUCUGGCGGCGAACGGGUCGCACCACACCCAACAACGAUCAUGUCAGACUCAGUCACCUGGAGGCACCCGCAUCGUACUUACCCAGCAUGGAUUCAGUCUGCUCUGGCGGUCUGAUCCUCAAAUGGCUUAACCAUCCGGCGGCGAAAUCGUCGCAUAAACGCCACGACAAUGGUUCAAGCCCCGGGUGGUGAUCUCCAUAUGAUCGCCCCAAAUCUACCCAUGGUACCAAGCUCGGCGGCGCAGUUGUCGCACGAACGCCCUAGCCUGUACGAGGGACAUCAUAAGUCCUGGGAUUCCGGAAUCCACUUUACCACAGGUCGAGGGUCCAUAACCAAUCCUAUACUGUCGACCUAUCUCAUCCUAGUGGCUAUACCACUAUACUCAUCAACCUAGGUUCCAAUGCUCUUAGGUUCUAUGUCCAUGUCACUUAACCUAGAUACACUUGCUAGGUUCUUGUCAUCUUUGCCUAGAUGUCCACUUCUAGGUUUAGUAGUUCGAUCUAGGUUGACUAACACUAGGUUAGAUGCCACACACCUAGAUUGUUCAACUCUAGGUUCACUUGUUUAACCGUUAUUCUUUAAUACUAGGUUAGAUGCCACUCGAUCUACCUGACAACCUAGUUGUCCAAUCAUCUCUACUCGUACUAGAGUUAUCAUCUGGUUUAUAUGCAAAUACCAUACAUCAUGCUUUCUACUUAGCAUUUACUUUAUGCAUCCUUGCUAACAUGCAUUCUUUACUUGUCAUGCUAUCUACUUAGCAUCUUUAUCUAUGCAUUAUUACUGAUAUGCAUUCUUUACACUAGCUAGCAUUAUCUAAAUGCCAUAAUCAUUAUGCUCCACUAUGCAUUGUAUUAAUAUGUAUUUACUCUAAGCAUUACCAUUUAUCAUGCUUUCUACUUAGCAUCUUUAUUAACAUGCAUCAUUGUUCUUGUCUACAUGCACAUGCAUCAAUCAUGAGACUACAUUGCUAAGACAUAAAGGGCGACCUAGUCGCUUCGGUAAGCACAACCCACCUUAACUCGCGAUCCGAUUGCUUGUCGACACUUGCAAUCGGCCUCCCGCGGCACUCGGCACCGAUUUGGGCCCGAACUCUUGCGCGACUUAGCGAACAACCUCCGAACCGCGAUCCGUCUUUUCCGGAGUUUAUUACUUGACUUCAAGAUGCUCCGGUUCCGAUCUCACGAUUUUUAAGCUUUUUUUUCGCGUGUUGCGGCCAUCUGUACCAAAACCGACCGUUUCGUCAAUAACUUCGCGUACACUCGUCGGAUUGUCGAACCGAGCAUUUCAACGCGUUCGUUAGGUCCCCAAUUAAGUUUCCAAGCGGUCAAAAUAGAUCAAAACCCCAUAUGAGCAAAACCCCUCUUNCUCUUAAGCACCUUGUGCGAGCCACCAGCCCUUACGAGUGAUCCAUGGCCCGCUUCACACUUAGCCCAGCUGAAGUGCUACUGCCAAUUCACUCGACCGGCUGAAUCGAAACCGCACUCUACGAGCAUCUAUACUCGAGUGCCUUAAGCCUCUACAGCGUCUCACACGAAGCCUAGCGUCAGGCAGCUUGCCUAUGCACGUCCACUACACGAGCACACUCGUCCACCUCAACUCGAGGUACUACUAGGCCCACAGGCCAUACUCGGCACUAACCGACCAAUUUCGCGACAGUGGUUCAUCUUCACCAUUCAAUCUACCAAAUCCGCAUUCGAAAUACCUUUGGGAUAUUCGGGCGUUCCCAAACAUCAAGGCCCAACUCUCGAAAUCUCCAACCCAUUGCUUUGAGAGUCCUUUCACCACUCGGUUUCCAUUGCGAGCCUCGUUUCCUGUCCAACAUCACCACUAGCCAUUUCCUAGUACCAUCGGCUCUCAACCUGUUAGCAUGCUUGGGUGCCUACUUACCCGACCUCUCGGUCCCUACUAUGCAACGUAUAAAUAGUAGCAACUGACCAAUGACGAAUGCAUGCUAUGCACCAACUUGAGAUUAUGCAAAAAAUAUGCUUGCUCAAUUAAAUCAUACCUGCCACGACGUCAUCAGCAACGGCAGGCACAACAGCUCGGGUCGCUUAUCUAUGGCCACUUGGCGCCCGUCGCGAACCCUCUGGUUGCAACAUUCUCAAUGGCUGCUCCCCCGACCAUGCCGCAGGUGGCACACCCGCCGGCUGUCCCAAAGAGGAGUGGGCCAUCGCCAGUGUCAAGGCCCGGUUAUCACCCUGUGGACACUCGUCCCGCACAUGGCCCGGCAGCCCAAACUUGAAGCACUUGCCCUCUCGCUGUUCACAUUGCUGUGGAAAAUGGGGGCCUCCACAAAUUGCACAUCUCGCCGAGGACCGAAUGCGAUACGUCCCCGGAGCUCUAGAUCGAGAGUGCGUCCUCACUGAGGUCCGUUGGGAACUUGACUGACCAUCAUGUCCGCUCACUGGCCGUCCUUUCCCUUUUUCCCUGUAGUGUUCCUCACGCUUCUCCCGCAGGAAAGCAUUGCCUUGUUCUAUCCGCAAGGCCCGGUCCAGGACUUCAGCAAAAGUCUGCAACUUUAGCACAAGCACCGUCUGGUACAGGUCUGACCGAAGUCCACGCACAAAGCAGUCGGCCUUGUCCUUGUCAUCUCGCAGCACGUUCGGGACACAAUGCACGAUACGGAAAAAUUCCUGCUCGUAUUGCCUGACCGUGCGACUUCCUUGCUGUAGCUUAAGAAACAUCUCCUAAAGUUUUCGCUUCUCGCUAUCGGGGAAAUAUGUCAAGAACAACAUCCCCCGAAACUCUUCCCAAGUCAUUGGAGGGAGACUAGGCAGUCGAUCUCGCUUGACGCCUUUCCACCACACCUUCGCCGAUUGUUUCAGAUAAUGCACGGCUAGGUUUACCUUAUCUCGUUCUAACGUGUACAGAUCCUCGAAGAGUGUUUCCAUGGAAUCGAUCCACAUCUCAACGACCCACGGAUCUGCAUCUUCACCAUCAAAGGUAGGCGGAUCAAACUUUUUGAAAGUCAUGAGGGCCGCUAAAGCUCGCUCCCUCUCCGCCGCAACCUCUGGGCCAACAGGAGUCGGAUCGCCCGACCCCGACGGAAACAGCUCCGCCGCAACUCCCGGCUGUCCUCGACCAGCCGCAGCUGGUGCUGCCACCAGCCGGUCCACAGUCUCUUGGAGUCGUUCCAUUCGCUCCUCUUGGCGCAUAGCAGCCUCCUGCUGCCGCUGCACCACAUCAGCUUGUUGCCGCAUCACUCCAAUGAGUGUGGCCAACUGAUCGCGAAGCUCCGAGUCUCCGCUGCCGUCGAUUUGCUCAGGGACGCCACUUGUCCCCUCCCGCGCCGAUAUGGAUGAAGGUCGUCUACGCGGUGCCAUCGUUUUCUGAAAUAGGACAACUCAAUUAGUCCUCGACGCUCUGGGUCGAACACGAGACCACUAGCACCGGCUAAAAAGCCAAUCAGGCGAAAGUCAAACAAGAACGUCUAUUCUCGUCACUCGGCUUUAUGUUGUGCGCGCCCAACAUAAACACACUUGGUCGAGAAUAAACCAUACCUUGAGUCUACCUCUAAUAUCCGUCUUAGAGGUUAUGACACAACCCAAUUCAUAAUCCUUUCGCCACAAAUCAUAAGUCCUCGUCUCUCACGAGCCUUAUUCUCCUAUGGUUUCACUAUCCUAGGGUCUCCUAGGUCUGUCUAAACCAUUUUUCCCAUUUUCUACUUUAUUCUCUGAUACCAUCUUAUCUGUCACGCCCCGCGACCAACCGCCAAUUUGGACCGGGUCGCGGCGCCACCGACAGACCGCCGAACGGACCGCGAAUUCCCCUGUACGCGGACAGAGUCUCCCCAGUACGUCCAAGGCGUCGCAAUCCAAACAAUCAACGAAUGUUCCAACAAGGAACGGAUAUCAAUCCAGAUUGCAUAAGGAAGUAUCAAAUACAUAAUCUACUUGCUAUUACAAGCAUUCAUUUCACAACCACGUUUUACAUCACAGUUUCCGUUUAUAUUUUUACUUCCAAAUUACAAUCUCACUAUUACAUCAGAGUUACAAGUUUGAUACAAUUUCUUUUCUUGUCUUCUAGACCCCUAAGCUAGACUGUCUCAGGGUACUGCUACCUCGGUCUCUGUGGUGGGGCGCUAUCUACUGAGCUACGCCCUCGCCUUGCGCCGCCGCGCCGCACACGAACGACCUGAAAACCCCAAAACAACGUGGGAAGAGAACCAACUCCAUGGUUCCCAGUGGGUACGGCCACCCAAGGGAAAAGCUCAACCGAUAGGUCCGAGGAGGUACUGCAACAUGUUAGUUCAACAAUAUACAACAGAUAUAUAUAUUCAAUUGAAAUACAUGCCAUGCCUCACAAUAUGCGAUAUGAAAAUCAUGUAACAACUAGUAGAUCAUUUGAAUUCUACUUUUACUUGGCUACUUUAGCUCAUAACUUUACUGUAAGGUUUCUAUUACCUUACGAUCACAACACCAACCACUAGCUUCUAAGGUUUCUAUUUACCUUAGCUCAAGCCUCUAUCUCUAGCUCAUAAGGGUUCCUCUACCCUAUCAUAGCUAACCACCCGACUCGGCUUCGAAUCAAUCAUCUGCGGAUAGUCCGCGCACUGGCUGCUCACAGCCUACCGCACUCUCUCUAACUCAGCCUCCUAGCGGCGAAAUCGUCGCACACGCUGAACACGGCUCGAGUCGCAUGACUUGACCAUCGGUGGCGAUUACGUUGCACUUACCCAGCGUGAAUCGAGACAUGACAUACCGUCUGGCGGCGAACGGGUCACACCACACCCAACAACGAUCAUGUCAGACUCAGUCACCUGGAGGCACCCGCAUCGUACUUACCCAGCAUGGAUUCAGUCUGCUCUGGCGGUCUGAUCCUCAAAUGGCUUAACCAUCCGGCGGCGAAAUCGUCGCACAAACGCCACGACAAUGGUUCAAGCCCCGGGCGGUGAUCUCCAUAUGAUCGCCCCUAAUCUACCCACGGUACCAAGCUCGGCGGCGAAGUUGUCGUACGAACGCUCUAGCCUGUACGAGGGACAUCAUAAGUCCUGGGAUUCCGGAAUCCACUUUACCACAGGUCGAGGGUCCAUAACCAACCCUAUACUGUCGACCUAUCUCAUCCUAGUGGCUAUACCACUAUACUCAUCAACCUAGGUUCCAAUGCUCUAGGUUCUAUGUCCAUGUCACUUAACCUAGAUACACUUGCUAGGUUCUUGUCAUCUUUGCUUAGAUGUCCACUUCUUGGUUUAGUAGUUCGAUCUAGGUUGACUAAUUAACACUAGGUUAGAUUCCACACACCUAGAUUGUUCGACUCUAGGUUCACUUGUUUAACCGUUAUUCUUUAAUACUAGGUUAGAUGCCACUCGAUCUACCUGACAACCUAGUUGUCCAAUCAUCUCUACUCAUACUAGAGUUAUCAUCUGGUUUAUAUGCAAAUACCAUACAUCAUGCUUUCUACUUAGCAUUUUCUUUAUGCAUCCUUGCUAACAUGCAUUCUUUACUUGUCAUGCUAUCUACUUAGCAUCUUUAUCUAUGCAUUAUUACUGAUAUGCAUUCUUUACACUAGCUAGCAUUAUCUAAAUGCCAUAAUCAUUAUGCUCCACUAUGCAUUGUAUUAAUAUGCAUUUACUCUAAGCAUUACCAUUUAUCAUGCUUUCUACUUAGCAUCUUUAUUAACAUGCAUCCUUGUUCUUGUCUACAUGCACAUGCAUCAAUCAUGAGAUUACAUUGCUAAGACAUAAAGGGCGACAUAGUCGCUUCGGUAAGCACAACCCACCUUAACUCGCGUUCCGAUUGCUUGUCGACACUUGCAAUCGGCCUCCCGCGGCACUCGGCAUCCGUUUGGGCCCGAACUCUUGCGCGACUUAGCGAACGACCUCCGAACCACGAUCCGUCUUUUCCGGAGUUUAUUCCUUGACUCCAAGAUGCUCCGGUUCCGAUCUCACGAUUUUUAGGCUUUUAUUUCGCGUGCUGCGGCCAUCUGUAGCAAAACCGACCGUUUCGUCAAUAACUUCGCGUACACUCGUCGGAUUGUCGAACCGAGCAUUUCAACGCGUUCGUUAGGUCCCCAAUUAGGUUUCCAAGCGGUGAAAAUAGAUCAAAACCCUAUAUGAGCGAAACCUCUCUUUAGGAUGCCCUAAUGUGCCAUUUGCUCAAUACCCCAGAUUUGAUCUAUAGAACAAGCAAAAGAGAGCUUGUUUAUCAUCUAGGAGCUCAUCUAGGAGCAUUCGAACCAUUUCUAGGGUGUUUAGAACAAACCCUAGAAAUCCACCAUUAGAGCUCCUUGAAGAAUAACAUGGAUUUCGUAUGUUCUUGGCCUCUACAAGGUUCUAAACAUAUUAGAAGCUUCAAAACUCUAGGUUUUAGGGUUUAAAAACCAACCCUAACCCUAUUCCUACCAUGAGAGGUGAUAGGAACUUACCUCUCAAGCUCCUCCAAGCAUGAGGAAGAUGAAGGUGGAGGUAAUCAUCUUCUUCUCCAUCUUUUUCUUCUUUUCCUUUCUUCUCUUCUCUUUUUCCUUCUCUUUUCUUCUUGUCCUUUCUUCUCUUUUUCCUUCUCCUCCCUUGCAACCGGUUGAGAGAGAGGGAGAUACACGAGAGAGGGAGAGAAAGAGAGAGCUGGGGUUAUAACAUAUUGUAACAAUUGCCAAAAGAACCC
RNAcentral lists this long non-coding RNA (43875 nucleotides) under Ananas comosus (pineapple). RNAcentral describes it as "long non-coding RNA (ACOM_LNC019737)". Lineage: Eukaryota; Viridiplantae; Streptophyta; Magnoliopsida; Poales; Bromeliaceae. The record is from RNAcentral.